GGUUCAGUCAAUACAAUCUGGGUUAUCUUGAUGUGUCUAUUUUGUGGUAUGAGAGCAAGGACUUGGGUAGUGGUUACAUUGUAAUGUUUUGAUUUUAUUGAGGUUUCAUUUCGUUGAUCUAUAUCUCGGUAAUGUUAUUCAUCGUCCAUCUCUUGUUUAUAAUUGAAGUGUUUCCUUAGAUCAUUACAAGUGUGGCAUAUUGGGUAAUUAUUUGACUUAUGUUCCUAUAUUUUUUUUUAUAUAUAUAUAUUUAAGCUACAAUGCUGAUAUGAUGCUAUUGUCCUUUAAUUUUUUACGAUUCAGGGUAAUAAGGUUUAUGAUAAAGUUUGAAGGUUCAUUCAAAAGUGGCAACAGUGGCUGCUUUGUUUUAGAACAUGUUGAGCAUGAGCGACCUGAGGUAAUUGUUUGUAGAGAUUUAUGUAACCUUGUCUGAUUUUGUAUCUUUGCGUUUCCGUCAAUGUUCUCUGUGUCUUAUCGAUUUGACUUAGAGUUAGUUAAUGAUGAACUUUUAUUUUUAUCCCAAGUGAACCUUUAAUAGCUCAAACUAUUACAUUGACUAUAUGUUGUUAUAUGGUAUAAGGCAUGGUUUAUCCAAUAUAUAAGCUGAGUUUUGUUGAACUAUGC
Molecule: long non-coding RNA, 624 nt
Filed under: Trifolium pratense (red clover)
Lineage: Eukaryota; Viridiplantae; Streptophyta; Magnoliopsida; Fabales; Fabaceae
Description: long non-coding RNA (TPRA_LNC006621)
Source: RNAcentral